GUGAAUCAUCGAAUCUUUGAACGCAAAUUGCACUCUCCUCGGAGAGUAUGCCUGUUUGAGGUUCAGCCUAUAAAAAAUCGACAUCGUUGCUGUUUCGCGGUGACGUUCGUCGGAAAUUGGGUCAUCUUAAGUCCUUUUGGUUUUAAGGGACUUAAAAUUUUCUUUUUGGUUCCAUGGACGUGUCUAAGUUUUAUUUCUUUACACGUUUAGGGGGAUCGAUUUUUAUUAGACGUGUCCAUCAUAUCGGAUCGUGUCCAUAAUG
This 262-nucleotide unclassified non-coding RNA is filed under the name Glomus sp. RNAcentral describes it as "partial contains 5.8S ribosomal RNA and internal transcribed spacer 2". The stretch from base 1 to 65 matches the Rfam family "5.8S ribosomal RNA", at positions 84 to 154 of the family's 154-position model. Lineage: Eukaryota; Fungi; Glomeromycota; Glomeromycetes; Glomerales; Glomeraceae. The record is from RNAcentral.